GUUAGCUCAGUUGGUAGAGCAACUGACUCUUAAUCAGUGGGUCAAGGGUUCGAGUCCCUCAC
RNAcentral lists this transfer RNA (62 nucleotides) under human gut metagenome. It matches the Rfam family "tRNA", at positions 6 to 65 of the family's 71-position model. From Rfam's summary of the family: Transfer RNA (tRNA) molecules are approximately 80 nucleotides in length. Their secondary structure includes four short double-helical elements and three loops (D, anti-codon, and T loops). The record is from RNAcentral.